AGUGAACGCUGGCGGUAGGCCUAACACAUGCAAGUCGAACGGCAGCACAGUAAGAGCUUGCUCUUACGGGUGGCGAGUGGCGGACGGGUGAGGAAUACAUCGGAAUCUACUUUUUCGUGGGGGAUAACGUAGGGAAACUUACGCUAAUACCGCAUACGACCUACGGGUGAAAGCAGGGGAUCUUUGGACCUUGCGCGAUUGAAUGACCCGAUGUCGGAUUAGCUAGUUGGCGGGGUAAAGGCCCACCAAGGCGACGAUCCGUAGCUGGUCUGAGAGGAUGAUCAGCCACACUGGAACUGAGACACGGUCCAGACUCCUACGGGAGGCAGCAGUGGGGAAUAUUGGACAAUGGGCGCAAGCCUGAUCCAGCCAUACCGCGUGGGUGAAGAAGGCCUUCGGGUUGUAAAGCCCUUUUGUUGGGAAAGAAAAGCAGCAGGUUAAUACCCCGCUGUUCUGACGGUACCCAAAGAAUAAGCACCGGCUAACUUCGUG
This 492-nucleotide ribosomal RNA is filed under the name uncultured bacterium. Its description in RNAcentral is "partial 16S ribosomal RNA". It matches the Rfam family "Bacterial small subunit ribosomal RNA", at positions 29 to 507 of the family's 1533-position model. The record is from RNAcentral.